GAUGAACGCUAGCGGCAGGCUUAAUACAUGCAAGUCGAACGGAUAUAUGUUUUUCGGAAUAUAUAUUAGUGGCGCACGGGUGAGUAACACGUACAUAACUUGCCCUCAAGCGGGGGAUAGCCUUGGGAAACUGAGAGUAAUACCCCAUAGAAUUAUUGGACGGCAUCGUUUGAUAAUUAAAACUACGGUGCUUGGGGAUAGAUGUGCGUCUGAUUAGCUAGUUGGUGAGGUAACUGCUCACCAAGGCGACGAUCAGUAGGGGGCGUGAGAGCGUGGCCCCCCACACGGGUACUGAGACACGGACCCGACUCCUACGGGAGGCAGCAGUAAGGAAUAUUGGUCAAUGGAGGGAACUCUGAACCAGCCAUGCCGCGUGAAGGAUGACGGCCCUCUGGGUUGUAAACUUCUUUUGGAUGGGGCGAAAAAACGGGAUUUAUCCUGGACUGACGGUACCAUCAGAAUAAGCACCGGCUAACUCCGUGCCAGCAGCCGCGGUAAAGUAGUCGUG
This 508-nucleotide ribosomal RNA is filed under the name uncultured bacterium. Its description in RNAcentral is "bacterial SSU rRNA". It matches the Rfam family "Bacterial small subunit ribosomal RNA", at positions 28 to 534 of the family's 1533-position model. The record is from RNAcentral.